Molecule: non-coding RNA, 545 nt
Organism: Penaeus vannamei (Pacific white shrimp)
Lineage: Eukaryota; Metazoa; Arthropoda; Malacostraca; Decapoda; Penaeidae
Source: RefSeq, a predicted model, not a curated record
CGAAAAGAAAAGAGACGUGUUACCUUUACGAACAACGAACCAUCGACAUGCCACCUGAGAUGAUCAACCAUACGGUGCCAGACUGCUCACACUAUAGCCGCGACGCUCUCGUGGAUUUCAAGAAACACGAGAACCAAGUGUUGGAGGGAAGUCGAGACAGGUACCUCAAGUUUGUCUCAGCCUCUUACUGCGCACAGGUUUGCGAAGACGAGCCUGGACUACGGCUGCAACGGCUUCGACUUCUGCGAAGAGCCUGAGGACGUCACGUGCUUCUUGACGUCAGACCACUACACUGACGAGGGAGUCGACAUCGGGAAUUCCCCGACCUGCUCUCACUAUUCACGUGAAUAUUAUGAUGGGAAGGAUAUGAACGCUUAUUCCCAUAGCAGGAAAAGCAAGUAUAUUUACGGCCCAGGUGACAUGGCGGGUCUGGCUUGCUCCAUGUUGGUGAUUUCCAUCGCAGCAACAUUUGGUGGAAUUUAUGCCUAUAACAAAUACUUCAAGAAAUAAAUCUUCUUUAAUAUUUCAACUGAUUUACUGUUCUU